Molecule: ribosomal RNA, 241 nt
Filed under: uncultured Actinomycetales bacterium
Lineage: Bacteria; Bacillati; Actinomycetota; Actinomycetes; Actinomycetales
Description: partial 16S ribosomal RNA
Rfam family: Bacterial small subunit ribosomal RNA
Source: RNAcentral
CGAGUGGCGAACGGGUGAGUAACACGUGGGUGAUCUGCCCUGCACUCUGGGAUAAGCCUGGGAAACUGGGUCUAAUACCGGAUAGGAGCUCCUGCUGCAUGGUGGGGGUUGGAAAGUUUCGGCGGUUGGGGAUGGACUCGCGGCCUAUCAGCUUGUUGGUGGGGUAAUGGCCUACCAAGGCGGCGACGGGUAGCCGGACUGAGAGGUUGGUCGGCCACAUUGGGACUGAGAUACGGCCCAG